GACGAACGCUGGCGGCGUGCUUAACACAUGCAAGUCGAACGGAAAGGCCCCUUUGGGGGUACUCGAGUGGCGAACGGGUGAGUAACACGUGAUUAACCUGCCCUUGACUUCGGGAUAACUUCAGGAAACUGGGGCUAAUACCGGAUAGGAAUCCUUGCUGCAUGGUGGGGGUUGGAAAGCUUCGGCGGUUUUGGAUGGACUCGCGGCUUAUCAGCUUGUUGGUGGGGUAGUGGCUUACCAAGGCUUUGACGGGUAGCCGGCCUGAGAGGGCGACCGGCCACAUUGGGACUGAGAUACGGCCCAGACUCCUACGGGAGGCAGCAGUGGGGAAUAUUGCACAAUGGGCGGAAGCCUGAUGCAGCAACGCCGCGUGCGGGAUGACGGCCUUCGGGUUGUAAACCGCUUUCAGCAGGGGCGAAGCUUGUGGUGACGGUACCUGCAGAAGAAGCACCGGCUAACUACGUG
This 465-nucleotide ribosomal RNA is filed under the name uncultured bacterium. Its description in RNAcentral is "partial 16S ribosomal RNA". It matches the Rfam family "Bacterial small subunit ribosomal RNA", at positions 28 to 507 of the family's 1533-position model. The record is from RNAcentral.